This 355-nucleotide long non-coding RNA is filed under the name Homo sapiens (human). RNAcentral's name for it is "HSALNT0311179". Lineage: Eukaryota; Metazoa; Chordata; Mammalia; Primates; Hominidae. The record is from RNAcentral.
CGCGGUCCGGGCUUGCACCCCGCUGGGCAAAGUACCCGGGGCUGUCACACGGCGAGCUGAGCCCUGGGCCGGCGGAUUGGAGGAAAAAAAAGUGGAAGCCCUGGGACCCACCAUCAUGAACAAUCGGGGAGAAGACAAGAGGCCAGCAAAGGAAUGAACACAGGGACGCAUGAGACAUUUGGUGCCGAAGACCUGGGUCAGCGGGACUCCUUUGGGAGACCAGUCCCCCAUCCUCACCCUCACUCUGUGAAGAGAUCCACCUACGACCUUGGGUCCUCAGACCAACCAGCCUAAGGAACAUCUCACCUAUUUUAAAUCGGGAAUGUCAGGCCUCUGAACCCAAGCUAAGCCAUCA